UCUAGGCUGGUGGCUUCCUCAGGCCAGGUCCCCAGACGCUGCCCAGCUGUUACGGCUGAGGGAGCCAGGCGUACAGGACCCAACUAGCUUUCAGGCUCCUCAGGUGGCCCGAAUGGUGGGGGCUGGGUCCCACAGACUGUGUCCUAUGCAGAUGGCCGCUGCCAUGAGGUCAUAGAGGUGGGGAUGGGGGAACGGGUCACUGCAGCCUCAAGGUCUGGGUCUGGCCAUUGGGUGGCCUUGGCCAGAGCUCUGGAGCCCUGUAGACACAGCCCCCAGUCUGUUCCCUGGGCCCCUCGCUCAUCCGCUGGCCCAACGCAACUGACUCCUACCUGAAUCUCAUGAAAAGACGGCUCAGUGAUGACUCCCAGUCGCAGCUUCAGUCUGGGACAUGGAUGAAAGCCCUGGUGUGGGGAGCGAGGCUGCCAGGAUCUCUGGUGCCAUAAACCAGUGGAUUCCUCUCCCUUCCCAUAAGAGCUAUAUAAAGAGGAUGGAACUGCAGAUCAUUUUGUUAACUACACUUUCUAAGCAACACCAAAUUGCCAAGAAAGUAGAAAUACACGAUAAACAUUCACAGAAGUACAGCAAUUAAAGAAGCUAUGAUAACGUACAUAGAAUACAUGAUAUAUACAUGUGUGACUUAUCUUUUUUUCAAGCGACAGGAUGCCUUCUCUCCCUGUACUUGAAGCACUCUAUAAUGGAAAUAGAAAAUGCAAUACUCAAAUACCAACAACCUCCUAUGAAGUUAAACGGCAAAAGUCAUUCUCUGCUAUUAUACCUGGUACAAAACGAGGUUUUCUGAGGCCGCUUCCACACGCAGGUUAUGCUAUAAAAGCAACUAUUAAGUGAUUAUACUCUUGCAACUCAUCAAGGGUU
Odocoileus virginianus texanus is the source of this 873-nucleotide long non-coding RNA. RefSeq lists it as uncharacterized. The record is from RefSeq and is a predicted model, not a curated record. NCBI's taxonomy places the organism in Eukaryota, Metazoa, Chordata, Mammalia, Artiodactyla, Cervidae.